CAAUAGCGUAUAUUAAAGUUGUUGCGGUUAAAAAGCUCGUAGUUGGAUUUCUGCUGAGAACGACCGGUCCGCCCUUUGGGUGUGUAUCUGGCUCUUUCUUGGCAUCUUCUUGGUGAACGUUGCUGCACUUGACUGUGUGGAGCGCUACCCAAGACUUUUACUUUGAGGAAAUUAGAGUGUUUCAAGCAGGCAUACGCCUUGAAUACAUUAGCAUGGAAUAAUAAGAUAGGACCUCGGUUCUAUUUUGUUGGUUUCUAGAGCUGAGGUAAUGAUUAAUAGGGAUAGUUGGGGGCAUUCGUAUUUAACUGUCAGAGGUGAAAUUCUUGGAUUUAUGAAAGACGAACUUCUGCGAAAGCAUUUGCCAAGGAUGUUUUCAUUAA
This 380-nucleotide ribosomal RNA is filed under the name uncultured eukaryote. RNAcentral describes it as "partial 18S ribosomal RNA". It matches the Rfam family "Eukaryotic small subunit ribosomal RNA", at positions 592 to 976 of the family's 1831-position model. The record is from RNAcentral.